UGCCUAGGAAUCUGCCUGGUAGUGGGGGAUAACGUCCGGAAACGGACGCUAAUACCGCAUACGUCCUACGGGAGAAAGCAGGGGACCUUCGGGCCUUGCGCUAUCAGAUGAGCCUAGGUCGGAUUAGCUAGUUGGUGGGGUAAUGGCUCACCAAGGCGACGAUCCGUAACUGGUCUGAGAGGAUGAUCAGUCACACUGGAACUGAGACACGGUCCAGACUCCUACGGGAGGCAGCAGUGGGGAAUAUUGGACAAUGGGCGAAAGCCUGAUCCAGCCAUGCCGCGUGUGUGAAGAAGGUCUUCGGAUUGUAAAGCACUUUAAGUUGGGAGGAAGGGCAGUAAAUUAAUACUUUGCUGUUUUGACGUUACCGACAGAAUAAGCACCGGCUAACUCUGUGCCAGCAGCCGCGGUAAUACAGAGGGUGCAAGCGUUAAUCGGAAUUACUGGGCGUAAAGCGCGCGUAGGUGGUUCGUUAAGUUGGAUGUGAAAUCCCCGGGCUCAACCUGGGAACUGCAUUCAAAACUGACGAGCUAGAGUAUGGUAGAGGGUGGUGGAAUUUCCUGUGUAG
This 568-nucleotide ribosomal RNA is filed under the name uncultured bacterium. Its description in RNAcentral is "bacterial SSU rRNA". It matches the Rfam family "Bacterial small subunit ribosomal RNA", at positions 114 to 678 of the family's 1533-position model. The record is from RNAcentral.